CAGGGAGACAAAUAAAAGAUUGUGAUGUCUAAAUGAUUUAUUUUUAGGCCAUAAUCCUGUCACCUUAGGUCGAUCGGUAUCUCAGUUUAAUAUCAAUUAGCUAAGUAAUUUAGUUUUCUCAAGUUAUUAAAUUCAGUUCCUAAACUUUUGUCUAGGUCACACCCAACAAGGGUACUCCUGGGCCAUUAGCUCAGGUGGUUAGAGCGCACCCCUGAUAAGGGUGAGGUCCCUGGUUCAAGUCCAGGAUGGCCCAUUCGGUGUUGGGGGUAUAGCUCAGUUGGUAGAGCGCCUGCUUUGCAAGCAGGAUGUCAGCGGUUCGAGUCCGCUUACCUCCACUGAUCCACCGCCUAAUGACGAACCUUAAGGAGAUUUUUGUUUGGUUUGAUCUAGAUUUGUUCUAACAGAAUGAACCUAACUUCUUGUCAGCAAUACUAAUUUAUUUAGUUUGCUAGAUAGGACGCUGGGCUCACUGCAAUUUAAUUUGCAGAGUUCUUCAGUAGAACCUUGACAACUGCAUAGAUUAGUCUGGAAAAAAAAUAAAGCAUCUCAUGGAUGCAUUGUUUUUAUUCAUGGUUUAAUUCUAAUUUAUUAGAUUUUUACUAUGUUUUAACAAUAAUGUUUAAUUCUUGAGCAAGAGCCGAGACUCUAUAAUUUCCUUUGAUUGCAGUAGGUUGCAAUCAAAGUUAGAUAUUUAAUUUUUACCUUUAUUUAGGUGGAAUUAAAUAGAAAGUAUUUUAUAGAGAUAAAU
This 748-nucleotide transfer RNA is filed under the name uncultured cyanobacterium. Its description in RNAcentral is "partial 16S-23S ribosomal RNA intergenic spacer". The stretch from base 263 to 335 matches the Rfam family "tRNA". The record is from RNAcentral. Lineage: Bacteria; Bacillati; Cyanobacteriota.